Haemorhous mexicanus (house finch) is the source of this 599-nucleotide long non-coding RNA. RefSeq lists it as uncharacterized. NCBI's taxonomy places the organism in Eukaryota, Metazoa, Chordata, Aves, Passeriformes, Fringillidae. The transcript is spliced from 3 exons. The record is from RefSeq and is a predicted model, not a curated record.
UUGAACAAAACUACAGUUUCAAUUUAGCUAUUUCCUGAGCUAAAGCUCUUUUGAAACACAUCUGAAUUACAGGUUUUUUUUUUCUGAGAUAAGCCUACAGUACUCACAGUCUAAGUAUCAGAUAAGUGUGAAAGAUUCUAACAGAUCUGCAAAGAGUUCCUCCUCUUGGAAGAGUGAAGGUUACACAGUGGGGGUCACUGCAGUCAAGUUUCUGGGUGCUGAAGUCACGUCUUGAAGGGAGAAUGUUUUCCUUCACCUCCCAGAAUGAUGACACAUAUUCCAGAGAGAGCUGCUCCGGUUGUUACUCUGCAGUGACAAAGUCACAACCCCUUGUUGCAGUCAUUCUGUGGCAGCUCUGACUCUCACAGAAUCAAGCACACACAUUGAGAGCAGAACAGCAGACGUGAUGACAAAAUGAGAUGCAAUACAGAUAUCAUUUCCUAACAGACUCCUGAAGGCUGGAAGGGUGGCUGCAGCACGAGUGCUAUGUCUAAGCCGGGCUGGUGGGAGGAGAGGAACUCACUUCUGGACGGACCUCGCUUGGAUCCUCUCUCGUCUCAUCAUCGACACGGCAGCAUCUGCAGCAGCACACAGCCACU